UGUCUUGAGCACUUGACCAUCAUGUAUUGUCCAAGUCUUGUUUCUAUGCCGAAGGAUAUGCAUCACCUCUCUGCCCUUCGGAGUUUGACUAUCUUAAGCUGUCCUCAGAUUUUAUCUCUACCUGAAGAAUUAAAAUAUGUAACAGCACUGGAUUGCUUGGAAAUUGGGAGUUUUCCAGGGCUAAUGGAUUUGCCAACAUGGAUUGGAGACAUUUCUUCGCUCAGAUCUUUAAUAAUCUCUGACUGUCAAAAUCUAAAACAGUUGCCAGAAAGUCUGAAACUUCUCACUGCUCUGCAGCAUCUGUCUAUUCAAGCUUGUCCUAAGAUUGAAGAAAGGUGUAGGGAGGAAGUUGGUGAAGACUGGCGAAAAGUAGCCCAUGUUCCAUAUAAAUAUAUUGGAUCACCUGAUGUUGGGCAGUCCAGUGAAUCAGGCAGCUCCUCUGUUUGAAAUAUCCAUCUUGCUAUUCUUGAGUGACUAUAAUCUAUACAUUCAGUUCAUCUGAAGGAUUUUCACCAAAGCAAUCCUGCAAGAGUGGCUCAACCCUCAAAACUUAACAUUUCAAGUCGAACAUGAAUAUUUCAGAGUGAACUAUUUUAUUCUGUGUGUAGUUAAGAAUAAUGAAAGAAAAAAAAGAAGAGCAGCAGCAAAUAGGCUUCUGGAAACAGAGCAGCAAGGUUGGGAUAGCAGUAACAGUGAUCAGAUCCAAAAUCCACAAAUUUCCAUCCAGAUUCCUCCAUCUCUGUCUGUUCAUUCUUAUGAAAAAUCAAAGCUUUGGAAAAUAUUAUUUGCAGGCUCUAAUUCAUUAAGCUUUACAAAAAUUCCAGCAGGUGGAGGCUGCUGUGGAGCUCACCUAAGCCUCUUUCUCCAUCACUUGCUAGUCGAUUAGGUUACUUCUUUCUUGUUUUCCCUUUUCCAUUUGUGAUA
RNAcentral lists this unclassified non-coding RNA (924 nucleotides) under Hevea brasiliensis (rubber tree). The record is from RNAcentral. Lineage: Eukaryota; Viridiplantae; Streptophyta; Magnoliopsida; Malpighiales; Euphorbiaceae.